Molecule: ribosomal RNA, 321 nt
Filed under: uncultured Pseudomonadota bacterium
Lineage: Bacteria; Pseudomonadati; Pseudomonadota
Description: bacterial SSU rRNA
Rfam family: Bacterial small subunit ribosomal RNA
Source: RNAcentral
AUUGAACGCUGGCGGAAUGCUUUACACAUGCAAGUCGAACGGCAGCACGGGGGCAACCCUGGUGGCGAGUGGCGAACGGGUGAGUAAUACAUCGGAACGUGCCCAGUCGUGGGGGAUAACUACGCGAAAGCGUAGCUAAUACCGCAUACGAACUCAGGUUGAAAGCGGGGGAUCGCAAGACCUCGCGCGACUGGAGCGGCCGAUGGCAGAUUAGGUAGUUGGUGGGGUAAAGGCUCACCAAGCCGACGAUCUGUAGCUGGUCUGAGAGGACGACCAGCCACACUGGGACUGAGACACGGCCCAGACUCCUACGGGAGGCAG